This is a long non-coding RNA of Budorcas taxicolor (takin), 1115 nucleotides long. RefSeq lists it as uncharacterized. Lineage: Eukaryota; Metazoa; Chordata; Mammalia; Artiodactyla; Bovidae. The transcript is spliced from 3 exons. The record is from RefSeq and is a predicted model, not a curated record.
AAGCUGUCGCCGACCUGCGCGGGGCGGAAGUCCUGCUGGACUGCCUCCUGGUAGGGAAGUCUUUCGGGCGUCAAGAAGCUGGAGAGCUCGGCCACUGGGCAGCUGUCUCCGAAGAGCCUGGGCGGGAGGGGCAGAAGAGGAAAGGAGCAGUGACCAUCAGAGCUACAAUCCAUCUAAGCGCUGGCUCCUCCUCAAGUCUGUCGUCGAUGCUCGCCCAGCUCGUCCAGGUGUGAACAGCAUCCGGUUCCCUCACUGAAAGUCGCCCCAGGAGGCUCCAGUCUCCACUCUGCUGCAUCCUGGUAUACUGGCUGAGGGAGACGUGUGGAGAAAUUCCAAAUACUGGUUCUCACCUGAUGAGCCCGCAGCAAGGCGGUCCUCCGAUACAUGUAGUCCUCUGACUUGAUCACAUAUACCAUCUUGUAGGAAUUCAGCUUAAAUCUACACUCCAGUUUAUCCAGGCUAUCCGCGUUCUCCAUGGUCUUCUUGCUGUUUCCUUCCUUCCCCUCCUUUUCCUGCUGCUCUCGACCACGCUGACACUUCCGGAUCCGCCGCAGAUUCCUACAAAGCAGCAAAGCCCUGCAGCGUGAGAGUUCCUCCAGAUCCAGAUUCCCAUGACUGCCCCCCACCCCCAAUUUUUCCUUAUUAUAUGCCUUCAUGAAGCUGAUCACAACUACAUACAUCUAAAAAAAUGUUCAAUGGUUUCAUUGUUAAAAAAAAUCUUUUUUCAACUGCAGAGAUAUGUGGAAUAAAAAGUAGAAAUUGCCAACUACCCCCUACCCCAAUUCUCAAAAUCCCACUUGCCUUGGCAGGGGUAGCCACUGUUGGCUGUUUGGGUUUUUGUUUUUUUAAAUCUAUUUUUGGCUGUGCUAGGUCUUCGUUACUCCAUGUGGGCUUUCUCUAGUUGCAGCGAGUGGGGGCUGCUCGCUAGCUGCGGUGCGCCGGCGUCUCAUUGUAGGGGCUUCUCUUGUGGAGCGUGGGCUCAGUAUCUGUGGCACAUGGGCUUAGUUGCCCCUUGGCAUGUGGGAUCUUCCCGGACCAGGGAUUGAACUACUGUCGCCUGCAUUGGCAGGCGGAUUCUUAACCACUGGACCACCAAGGAAGUCCCGCUGUUAGCA